This 164-nucleotide small nuclear RNA is filed under the name Chelydra serpentina (North American snapping turtle). Its description in RNAcentral is "U1 spliceosomal RNA (ENSCSRG00000009296.1)". It matches the Rfam family "U1 spliceosomal RNA". From Rfam's summary of the family: U1 is a small nuclear RNA (snRNA) component of the spliceosome (involved in pre-mRNA splicing). Its 5' end forms complementary base pairs with the 5' splice junction, thus defining the 5' donor site of an intron. Lineage: Eukaryota; Metazoa; Chordata; Testudines; Chelydridae. The record is from Rfam by way of RNAcentral.
AUACUUACCUGGCAGGGGAGAUACCAUGAUCAGCAAGGUGGUUUUCCCAGCAUGAGGCUCAUCCAUUGCACUGCGGGUGUGCUGACCUCUGUGAUUUCCCCAAAUGUGGGAAACUCAACUGCAGAAUUUGUGGUAGUGGGGGACUGCGUUCGCGCUUUCCCCUG